GAUGAACGCUGGCGGCGUGCCUAAUACAUGCAAGUAGAACGCUGAAGGAGGAGCUUGCUCUUCUGGAUGAGUUGCGAACGGGUGAGUAACGCGUAGGUAACCUGCCUGGUAGCGGGGGAUAACUAUUGGAAACGAUAGCUAAUACCGCAUGACAACAGUUAUUGCAUGAUAACUGUUUAAAAGGGGCAACUGCUCCACUACCAGAUGGACCUGCGUUGUAUUAGCUAGUUGGUGAGGUAACGGCUCACCAAGGCGACGAUACAUAGCCGACCUGAGAGGGGGAUCGGCCAGACUGGGACGGAGACACGGCCCAGACGCCUACGGGAGGCAGCAGUAGGGAAUCUUCGGCAAUGGACGGAAGUCUGACCGAGCAACGCCGCGUGAGGGAAGAAGGUUUUCGGAUCGUAAAGCUCUGUUGUAAGGGAAGAACGAGUGUGAGAGUGGAAAGUUCACACUGUGACGGUAUCUUACCAGAAAGGGACGGCUAACUACGUG
Molecule: ribosomal RNA, 495 nt
Filed under: uncultured bacterium
Lineage: Bacteria
Description: partial 16S ribosomal RNA
Rfam family: Bacterial small subunit ribosomal RNA
Source: RNAcentral